RNAcentral lists this ribosomal RNA (1372 nucleotides) under uncultured bacterium. RNAcentral's name for it is "bacterial SSU rRNA". It matches the Rfam family "Bacterial small subunit ribosomal RNA", at positions 28 to 1381 of the family's 1533-position model. The record is from RNAcentral.
GAUGAACGCUGGCGGCGUGCCUAAUACAUGCAAGUCGAGCGAACGGACGAGAAGCUUGCUUCUCUGAUGUUAGCGGCGGACGGGUGAGUAACACGUGGAUAACCUACCUAUAAGACUGGGAUAACUUCGGGAAACCGGAGCUAAUACCGGAUAAUAUUUUGAACCGCAUGGUUCAAAAGUGAAAGACGGUCUUGCUGUCACUUAUAGAUGGAUCCGCGCUGCAUUAGCUAGUUGGUAAGGUAACGGCUUACCAAGGCAACGAUGCAUAGCCGACCUGAGAGGGUGAUCGGCCACACUGGAACUGAGACACGGUCCAGACUCCUACGGGAGGCAGCAGUAGGGAAUCUUCCGCAGUGGGCGAAAGCCUGACGGAGCAACGCCGCGUGAGUGAUGAAGGUCUUCGGAUCGUAAAACUCUGUUAUUAGGGAAGAACAUAUGUGUAAGUAACUGUGCACAUCUUGACGGUACCUAAUCAGAAAGCCACGGCUAACUACGUGCCAGCAGCCGCGGUAAUACGUAGGUGGCAAGCGUUAUCCGGAAUUAUUGGGCGUAAAGCGCGCGUAGGCGGUUUUUUAAGUCUGAUGUGAAAGCCCACGGCUCAACCGUGGAGGGUCAUUGGAAACUGGAAAACUUGAGUGCAGAAGAGGAAAGUGGAAUUCCAUGUGUAGCGGUGAAAUGCGCAGAGAUAUGGAGGAACACCAGUGGCGAAGGCGACUUUCUGGUCUGUAACUGACGCUGAUGUGCGAAAGCGUGGGGAUCAAACAGGAUUAGAUACCCUGGUAGUCCACGCCGUAAACGAUGAGUGCUAAGUGUUAGGGGGUUUCCGCCCCUUAGUGCUGCAGCUAACGCAUUAAGCACUCCGCCUGGGGAGUACGACCGCAAGGUUGAAACUCAAAGGAAUUGACGGGGACCCGCACAAGCGGUGGAGCAUGUGGUUUAAUUCGAAGCAACGCGAAGAACCUUACCAAAUCUUGACAUCCUUUGACAACUCUAGAGAUAGAGCUUUCCCCUUCGGGGGACAAAGUGACAGGUGGUGCAUGGUUGUCGUCAGCUCGUGUCGUGAGAUGUUGGGUUAAGUCCCGCAACGAGCGCAACCCUUAAGCUUAGUUGCCAUCAUUAAGUUGGGCACUCUAAGUUGACUGCCGGUGACAAACCGGAGGAGGGUGGGGAUGACGUCAAAUCAUCAUGCCCCUUAUGAUUUGGGCUACACACGUGCUACAAUGGACAAUACAAAGGGCAGCGAAACCGUGAGGUCAAGCAAAUCCCAUAAAGUUGUUCUCAGUUCGGAUUGUAGUCUGCAACUCGACUACAUGAAGCUGGAAUCGCUAGUAAUCGUAGAUCAGCAUGCUACGGUGAAUACGUUCCCGGGUCU